UGUUUUGAUUUUAAUUCUUUAAAAAUAUUUUAUUUAUUCAUAAAAAUCCCAAAAAAUAUUUUCUACUUUUCGUAUUUUUUUAAUAUUAAUAUUUUAUUUUAAUUAUCUAUUCUAAAUGGUCCAUUUUAACACACAUUUUCUUCUUGAUUUUAUUUUCAUGACUUAGAAUUAUUUUUAGCUUUUGAUUUUUGGGAUGAAGGUUGACCAAUGUCCCAUGGUCAACCUGAUCUUUUCUUGGAAUUUUAUUUCCCAUUUUUAACUUAUUUUGGAUUUAUUUUUGACCUAGUUUGGUUGGUUGACUUUUGGUUUGACUUAUGUUUUGUUUCAAUUAAUUUAUGUACCAAUUUUAAUUAUUUUUAAAAUCUUUUUGGGGGAUGAUGAUGUCCUGACCCCACCUCAUUUAGUUUAAUUUUUCAUAAUUUUCUU
RNAcentral lists this long non-coding RNA (426 nucleotides) under Lathyrus oleraceus (garden pea). Its description in RNAcentral is "Pisum sativum (pea) long non-coding RNA (PSAT_LNC035417)". The record is from RNAcentral. Lineage: Eukaryota; Viridiplantae; Streptophyta; Magnoliopsida; Fabales; Fabaceae.